Molecule: ribosomal RNA, 253 nt
Filed under: uncultured bacterium
Lineage: Bacteria
Description: partial 16S ribosomal RNA
Rfam family: Bacterial small subunit ribosomal RNA
Source: RNAcentral
UACGUAGGGGGCAAGCGUUGUCCGGAUUUAUUGGGCGUAAAGAGCGUGUAGGCGGCCAAGCAGGUCCGCUGUGAAAACUCGAGGCUCAACCUCGAGACGUCGGUUGAAACCGUAUGGCUAGAGUCCGGAAGAGGAGAGUGGAAUUCCCGGUGUAGCGGUGAAAUGCGCAGAUAUCGGGAAGAACACCCGUGGCGAAGGCGGCUCUCUGGGACGGUACUGACGCUGAGACGCGAAAGCGUGGGGAGCGAACAGG